AAUUCAUGGUGAGGACAUUUUCUUAACAAAUCAUUCAACCUUUCCCAAGCUUCAUGGAAUUGUUCCCUAUCAUUUUGGGUGAAUCCAAUGAUAGCCGCUCUUAUUU
This is a small nucleolar RNA of Cornus florida, 106 nucleotides long. NCBI's taxonomy places the organism in Eukaryota, Viridiplantae, Streptophyta, Magnoliopsida, Cornales, Cornaceae. The record is from RefSeq and is a predicted model, not a curated record.